Molecule: ribosomal RNA, 478 nt
Filed under: uncultured bacterium
Lineage: Bacteria
Description: partial 16S ribosomal RNA
Rfam family: Bacterial small subunit ribosomal RNA
Source: RNAcentral
GACGAACGCUGGCGGCGUGCUUAACACAUGCAAGUCGAACGGUAAGGCACUUCGGGGUACACGAGUGGCGAACGGGUGAGUAACACGUGGGUGAUCUGCCCUGCACUUCGGGAUAAGCCUGGGAAACUGGGUCUAAUACCGGAUAGGACCACUGCCUGCAUGGGUGGUGGUGGAAAGCUUUUGCGGUGUGGGAUGGGCCCGCGGCCUAUCAGCUUGUUGGUGUGGUGAUGGCCUACCAAGGGGACGACGGGUAGCCGGCCUGAGAGGGUGACCGGCCAUACUGGGACUGAGGUACGGCCCGGACUCCUACGGAAGGCAGCAGUAGGGAAUAUUGCACAAUGGGAGCAUGCCUGAUGCAGGGACGCCGCGUGAGGGAUGACGGCCUUCGGGUUGUAAACCUCUUUCAGCACCGACGAAGCGAAAGUGACGGUAGGUGCAGAAGAAGGACCGGCCAACUACGUGCCAGCAGCCGCAGUAA